RNAcentral lists this ribosomal RNA (403 nucleotides) under uncultured bacterium. RNAcentral describes it as "bacterial SSU rRNA". It matches the Rfam family "Bacterial small subunit ribosomal RNA", at positions 355 to 775 of the family's 1533-position model. The record is from RNAcentral.
UAGGGAAUAUUAGAAAUGGCCGAAAGUCUGAUCUAGCAACACCGCGUGUGCGAAGAAGGCCUUUGGGUCGUAAAGCACUUUUUGGAAGGAAUAGGAAGGAAUGUACUUCCAGAAUAAGUCUCGGCUAACUACGUGCCAGCAGCCGCGGUAACACGUAGGAGGCAAACGUUAUCCGGAUUUACUGGGCGUAAAGCGCGUGUAGGUGGUACUGUAAGUAGGGCGUGAAAGCUCCUGGCUCAACUGGGGGAGGCCGUUCUAAACUACAGAACUAGAGGAUGGUAGAGGGAGGUGGAAUUCCAGGUGUAGCGGUGGAAUGCGCAGAUAUCUGGAGGAACACCGGUGGCGAAGGCGGCCUCCUGGACCAUUCCUGACACUCAGACGCGAAAGCUAGGGUAGCAAACGG